RNAcentral lists this long non-coding RNA (308 nucleotides) under Elaeis guineensis (African oil palm). RNAcentral describes it as "long non-coding RNA (EGUI_LNC072331)". The record is from RNAcentral. Lineage: Eukaryota; Viridiplantae; Streptophyta; Magnoliopsida; Arecales; Arecaceae.
GGGUUGCGCAUGGAUCGGAGGCACAAUUUAAUGGCUGAUGUCAUAGUUGGUGGGGAUUGGAUGGCCCAGAUCGAAUCUGGAUGUGAUCUGGGCACAGUUUGCACAAUUGGAUGGUUCUGGUUUGAGCCGGUCAUGAUCGAAUGGUUAGAAUUAAUUUUGGACUUUGAUUUGGACUCGAUCUCCUAGUGAAACACUAUUUUAGGAGUUUUGAAGGCUAUAUAACUCCGAUUGAUGAGCCAUUUGUUGCGUGGGAUAGCUGGUGACAUCUUAGUCAUAUAAAGAGGCUUCUUAAGAGAUUUUAAAGAGCU